GACGAACGCUGGCGGCGUGCUUAACACAUGCAAGUCGAGCGGUAAGGCCCUUUCGGGGGUACACGAGCGGCGAACGGGUGAGUAACACGUGGGUGACCUGCCCUCAGCUCUGGGAUAAGCCCGGGAAACUGGGUCUAAUACUGGAUAUGACUCCACGGUGCAUGCCGUGGGGUGGAAAGCCUUGUGCGGCUGAGGAUGGGCCCGCGGCCUAUCAGCUUGUUGGUGGGGUGAUGGCCUACCAAGGCGACGACGGGUAGCCGGCCUGAGAGGGCGACCGGCCACACUGGGACUGAGACAC
RNAcentral lists this ribosomal RNA (298 nucleotides) under uncultured bacterium. RNAcentral describes it as "partial 16S ribosomal RNA". It matches the Rfam family "Bacterial small subunit ribosomal RNA", at positions 28 to 327 of the family's 1533-position model. The record is from RNAcentral.